ACAACCAGUACCGCCGGCUGGCCAGUAGAUACGGAAUGUUCUGCAUCUAUCUGGUUGACCGUUCAAUAUUAGUUUCUGAAAUUUUUCCAGUAAGCACCCAUAAUGCUAUUGAAUUAAAACAUGUGAGUUUUAAGUAUUUGGACGGAAAAGUUUAAACUAGAACCGUUGUCGAAAACAAUGCUGUAAAAUGUAACAAAUCAAUACUUCUAUCAGAGUGGACGAUGACUCAUGGCUAAAAUCACAUAUGAAUGAUCUCAUAUGAAUUAAAUAAAUGUUCAUUCGCGCACACCUUUAGUUGCACCUUAGACGUUGAAAAGAGAGAAAAAAAAAACGAAAGGAAAAAAAUGUUUCUAGUCUGCAGCCUGGAUUUAUCUUAGGAUGAUAGGUAAAUUUUAAUUGAAUUAUAAUUUACAAUGGAUAACAUCAACAAUCUUCCUGUAGAGCUGUUAGCAUAUGUCUUCAACUACCUAAGCUUUCGUGAUCGCAAAAAUGCAUACGCCGUUUGCACCCUGUGGCACAACAUUCUGCACAGUGCUCGAUUCCAACGCCAAUGCAAGGUGUCACUGAAUCGCAGCUUCGACGAUGACCUGAACGAUUUAGAAAAACGCGUUCUCCGUUGCUUUCGGAAUAUUCGUAUAUACUCCCUUGGUGUAACAGAUUUUGAUGAUGUUGAACUAGUGGGCAAAUAUGAUAUGAUACAAUUUAUGUACUUAUAUGAACCAACUCCAGAGCACCGCCUGAUACAGUUAUUAUUUGAAAGUAAACUGGAUCUUGAAAGUCUGGAACUGUCAAGAACGUUUGAAAGUUGUCGUGGGAUUCUCGAGAAUCGAUUGCCGAGAAUAAGGAACCUGCGUGAGCUCUCGUUAGAUUUUGAAAUAAGUGAAAAUAUUAUCCCAGAGCAAUAUGCAACCACGUGGACAAUCCAACAUCAUCAAAUAGAGAAGCUAAGAAUUGAUCUUCCCUGUGCAAAUUUACCAUUUAAUGUAAUAACACCAAAUUUAACUAGUCUCCACGUGGAUACAAAUUGUCGCCGGGGCUAUCAGAUAAUCGAAGCUUACUGCAGGCAGUUGCAGUGUCUGGAAGUAACUAUCAAGGACGCGGAAACGCUCGAUGAUAUUAUGGCGCUGCCUUUUCCUUGUCUAACGCAUCUGCAAACUUGGGCCUAUGACGCUAACGACAACCAGAUGCAGAUUCUUUACGCUCAAAGACGUAUUAAAUUCAUGGAUGUGGAAAAAGAAGAACAGUUUGUCAUUGGAAUGCCAAAAUUGAAAAGCUUUCAUUCGGCAAAUAAUUUAAUGUUCUUUCGCAUUAGUACGGCACUUUCAAAAUUUGCCGAACAGCUCGUCGAAUUGACUCUGGAGAAUCAGGAAAUGGAUGCGGAACAAAUCAAAGCUUUCGAAGUGAUACCGAUUAAGGUGCUCAACAUACGACGAUGCAAAAUUCUGACCCCAUUCCAGACUCUACCGAUACUGAACAUGCCUCAGGUAACCUGUCUGGAACUGUGGUACAAUGAGUCAGAUAUUGUUUUCGAUAACGGGCUUUCUGAGCUCAAAUCGCUGAAGUUGACACUAAGUACAUCAAAGAAUCACAAAGUCCUGCACAAAAUAUGUCGUAACUUGCCGAGUUUGGAACAUUUGGAACUGUGGGCAUACAGAUUGCUGGUUAACACAGCUUUUCGAUAUCUGCAUAAACUGACGAAGCUAAGGUCGCUAAAAUUGAUCGAAUGCGAAACGAAGACACGCUUUUGGACACAUUGCUCAGUGAUACCUACUGUCCGUAGGGUAGAUUUUAUAAAAUGUAACUUAGAUGCUCCCACGUUUCAGCGUCUGGCAGAAAUUUUUCCCGGUCUCAGCGAACUCAUAUUGGAAAGAUGCAAAGUUCAAUUCAACGGUGAAGGUUCCGGUACGAACAGCAGUAUAUCGACGUCAAAGUUGGACAGCGAAAGCAGAAGUACUUGUUUGCAGCAAUUGAACGAAUUGUUUCCUCUGUGUACGAUUUCGUUGUACUAACAAUUUCAUUGACACAUUUACUAUGGUUAGACGCUACAAUUUUCACUAAUGAGACUGAUGGAUCCAGAAGUCAAACCAGCAGAAGGAAAAGGAACAAAUAAUCUCGAAUAGAAAAAACCAGCAUGGAAAGGAACUGGUACCACAACUUAAUAAUAUCGACCAUUUUCGCGACAAGCAUUUGAAAAAAAAAAUGCUUGCUGAUAUGACUGGGGGAAAUUGGUAACGGCCCUUCGAUCUCUCUAGCGAAUAGUGGAUUUUCAACCCUCAUAUAUGACUGAAGUCAUCACUCCACUCAAACAAAACCAUGCGUUCUCCCCACGCACACCUAAUGCCCCCCUGAUUGAUUCUCUAGUUGGUCAAACAAGCAUCAAAUAAACAUAGAUAUUAGUCUGCUUAGUCCAAAGCAACGUCCGCCGCAUCACCCGGCGAAUACGUCCUCGCUUACAAUGCCAUCAAAUCAUCAAAUUUUAAAAUUGCGUACGACAGAAUAUGUGUAACAAAAUAUGAGCGGAAAAAAUAGUUGCGUAACCAAAGUAACUCACUGCACUGUUGAUGAAUCACCCAACAAAAAUAAGUGAUAAGGGACGCGGCCGAAAAAAGCUGACCACCGUUCCAAUCCGAAAUGAACAGUUACUGUGCUUGGGCAGGUUACACACUGAUCGAUACAGCAGAAAUCGUCCUAUUUCUAAUAGACCUGCAAAAUGUGUGUAUUAACCGCUAUGUAUCCGACGCGGUACCCGGGUACCUUUUUAGGUUUCAAUUGAUUAAAAACCUUUGUUUUAUCCAUAGCUGGAAAUUGAAACUUUGAAUCAUCUUAGAACUUCACUAAGUCAAGCUUUUGGGUUAAUAAUAUUGUUGAUAAAGUAAGUGGGGGAGUUAGGAGGGGCUCCUGAUUUUUUUUACUACGUAACAGGCCGACGUAGGUACCCGGGUACC
Topomyia yanbarensis is the source of this 2945-nucleotide RNA transcript. RefSeq lists it as uncharacterized. The record is from RefSeq and is a predicted model, not a curated record. The transcript is spliced from 5 exons. NCBI's taxonomy places the organism in Eukaryota, Metazoa, Arthropoda, Insecta, Diptera, Culicidae.